RNAcentral lists this ribosomal RNA (489 nucleotides) under uncultured bacterium. RNAcentral's name for it is "bacterial SSU rRNA". It matches the Rfam family "Bacterial small subunit ribosomal RNA", at positions 15 to 518 of the family's 1533-position model. The record is from RNAcentral.
GAUCCUGGCUUAGGACGAACGCUGGCGGCAUGCCUAACACAUGCAAGUCGAACGGAGUAAUGACUUCGGUUAUUACUUAGUGGCGAACGGGUGAGUAACACGUGAAUAAUCUGCCCUGUACGAUGGGAUAACAGCUGGAAACGGCUGCUAAUACCGUAUAUGACCACGCCGAGGCAUCUCGGAGGGGUGAAAGCGCUUAAGCGGUACAGGAUGAGUUCGCGUCCAAUUAGCUAGUUGGUGAGGUAACGGCCCACCAAGGCGACGAUUGGUAGCCGACCUGAGAGGGUGAUCGGCCACACUGGAACUGAGACACGGUCCAGACUCCUACGGGAGGCAGCAGUGGGGAAUAUUGGGCAAUGGAGGAAACUCUUACCCAGCCAAUGCCGCGUGAGUGAUGAAGGUCUUCGGAUUGUAAAGCUCUUUGAUUGGGGACGAAUAAAUGACGGUACCCAAGGAACAAGCCCCGGCUAACUAUGUGCCAGCCGCUGC